RNAcentral lists this ribosomal RNA (253 nucleotides) under uncultured bacterium. RNAcentral describes it as "partial 16S ribosomal RNA". It matches the Rfam family "Bacterial small subunit ribosomal RNA", at positions 524 to 776 of the family's 1533-position model. The record is from RNAcentral.
UACGGAGGGUGCAAGCGUUAUCCGGAUUUACUGGGUUUAAAGGGUGCGUAGGAGGGCAGGUAAGUCAGUGGUGAAAUCCCCGAGCUUAACUUGGGAACUGCCGUUGAUACUAUCUGUCUUGAAUAUCGUGGAGGUGAGCGGAAUAUGUCAUGUAGCGGUGAAAUGCUUAGAUAUGACAUAGAACACCAAUUGCGAAGGCAGCUCGCUACACGAAUAUUGACUCUGAGGCACGAAAGCGUGGGGAUCAAACAGG